UUUCCCAGUGUCCCCAUUGGGGAUGGGGCUCCUCUGCAGCCUCACUCCCACUUACCACAAAUCAUGUACCUACGUGGGCUAGGAGGGACUGCAGUGAGGGGACAAGCAGUUUGGGUUUGUGGCUUUGUCCUUUGCAUAACUGAGUGUGAGCCCCAGCCUGGAACUGGCCAAGCAGGAAGGGGUUGCAGUUGUCUGUACAUGCAACAACUGAAAGCGGAGGAAAAAAUUCCCCUGUUGCUUUUGGACUGCCUAGGUCCAAGCUUCCUGUCUAGACUUGUAGCUGGAAAAAACUCUCCAGGAACCAGCUCUUCCGUUGCUGUCUCUGGCACUGUGCUCCCUUGGGCUGGGUGAUAGGCAGCUCCACUCCGUCCAUUCAGCAGCAUCUCCUGCAUCCGUGUGAAGAGUCCCAAGAAAAUAGCACCAUUUUUAAUCAGAUGUCCACAGGAUCCCUGGGGAAAGAGAGAGAUGGUUUCCUAUCUCUGGAGAUGUCACUAUAGUGUUUACGUGGCUGAAGAAGAAAGGUGUGAGACAGCACUUGGGCCUACCAAGGACUUUGCAAUGGUAUGUGGGUGUCUGAUAGUCCCUAAGUGAAGAUCCCCAAAGGGCCUCUCAGUAUCUUGUUUGAUGGUUGGGGUUUUUUCAUCUUAUUUAUGUGGAUUUUUUGGGUAUUUUUGUUUAAAAUAUCAUGGAUAAAAUCCUGGCAUCCUGCUGUAGUUGGUGGGAGCUUUGCCAGUGGGUUUAAUGGAAUUCUGUAAAUGUAAAAAUGUUUUCUUCUGAAAUGUUGCAUUUUAUGUUUGUCUGUAAGAAGCCCUCCUGCUGGUGGAGCAGG
Molecule: long non-coding RNA, 829 nt
Organism: Passer domesticus (house sparrow)
Lineage: Eukaryota; Metazoa; Chordata; Aves; Passeriformes; Passeridae
Exons: 3
Source: RefSeq, a predicted model, not a curated record